Engraulis encrasicolus (European anchovy) is the source of this 763-nucleotide long non-coding RNA. RefSeq lists it as uncharacterized. The record is from RefSeq and is a predicted model, not a curated record. NCBI's taxonomy places the organism in Eukaryota, Metazoa, Chordata, Actinopteri, Clupeiformes, Engraulidae. The transcript has 3 exons.
GUAGUGAGUCAUGUUGUUUUUUGUAUGUUUAGAUGAGGUAAGCUUAAGCCUACUGACUUCUGAAAUGACUGCAUGAAUGAUUUGUCCCAAGCUUUCUUACAGUAGGCUACUGACCUCAGAAAUAAUUCAUGGCGUUGUGAACCUGCUGAUGUAUUCAUUUGCACUCAUGUAGUAAUUUACUGUCAUGAAAGCUAAAUUGUGACUUGACUUUUUCCUCUCUCAGUUGUUGGCUCAUGACAGAUUUAUUUGAUAAGUGGAAGUGCCCGCUGAUGCAGACCCAGUGUAAGUAUACAUGCUGGCAUUGUUUUUGUGACAUUUAAUCUCAUCUAAAUCAUCAUGUUUUUGAACAGUGUUGGGUAGCCAGCCACCCAUGCAUGUUGACACAGCCAGCAGCGGGCACCCAUGGCACAUGGGGAUGGACCCAGGAGUGGAGGAUGACCCAAUAGGAUGAACGUUCAGCCCACUCACUGUUGACACAAGUGACACAGUAUUGACCAGAUCUCCUGGAAGUGCCCCCUGACGCAGACCCAGUUGUUGGGUAGCCACCCAUGCAUGUUGACACAGCCAGCACCGAGCACCCAGGGGGAUGGAACUAGGAAUGGAGGAUGGCCCAAUAGGGUGAGUUGCUGAGCCAAUGUCAGAAACAUGUAGACUAUACCCUACCCUCAUAUGUAAACCUUCGCUAGUCUGUUUCUCCCUUAAUAUUGGUGUCAGAUUCACACAAAUGCAGUUCUGGGGUGCUACCUUGCUACUAAACAGGCAC